This 994-nucleotide unclassified non-coding RNA is filed under the name Hevea brasiliensis (rubber tree). The record is from RNAcentral. Lineage: Eukaryota; Viridiplantae; Streptophyta; Magnoliopsida; Malpighiales; Euphorbiaceae.
GAGACCUUCUGGGAGGACUACGAGCACGCCGAGGUGGUGUUCGGCGCCUAGGAGGUGGUGGUGAACGUCUUCGAACAGGACUGCCACGAAUUCUUCUUGGAGAGGGCCUUGGAGGAGAUCUAUGUCGUCUUGCCAAAGGCGAUGGGGAACGGCCACCUCUCAUGGGUGAUGCAGGCCUCCUUCUAGGAGGAGAAUCGCGACGAAAAGGAGAUUCUACACGGCGACGUGGGGGAGACUCCGGACGACGGCGUGGAGAAUCGGGUUGUCUUCUAGGAGACCCACCUCGUCGACCAACAGGCGAGCGCCUUCUAGGUGAAAGAGGUUUUCGACGAGGAGAGGGAUCUCUCUGUCUUUUCAUGUCAUCCUUGUCAGCAUCAGGACCAACAUUUUCAGGCUUAGGACCAUCUCUCUUUGGAACGGUUGCUACAGUCCUUGGAGGUGUUGGCAUCUUCUGUCUUUGAGGCAAUGUAAAUCUUGCUCGAAUAACAUUCCCAUCAAUUUGGGCACCAUCCAUAUACACUUGGGCUUUUUCAGCAUCAGAUCUCGUUUUGAAUUCAACAUAUCCGUAUCCUUUAGGAAGGUUGACUGUGCGAUCCAUUGCAAGCUCGACAUUGACCACUUCACCAAAAUUACCGAAGAUUUCUCUUAAAUGACCCUCGUGGACAUUCCUACUCAGUGCGUCAAUGUGAAGAACAAGUGACUCGCGUACAGGAGAUGGUUUCCUGGGUGGCGGAGAACUUCGUUUAGCUGGUGGAGAUGAAGCGCGAGUCCGCCGAGCUGUUUCAGUCGGACUCUUUCUCUGAGGAGGGGGGCUUCGGCUCCGAGAACUACCGCUGCGAGAGAGAGACGAAGACGAGGAAAUGGACCUGGAACGAGAACGGGAGCGGGAGACAGAGGCAGACCUGGAGCGCGAGCGGGAACUGGAGCGGGAAUCAGAGCCGGAGAAUGAGCGGGAACGUGAGGAGGAACCCGACCCCGACGGCGGCGAGCGACG